This 1268-nucleotide long non-coding RNA is filed under the name Capra hircus (goat). Its description in RNAcentral is "lncRNA (ENSCHIG00010005717.1)". Lineage: Eukaryota; Metazoa; Chordata; Mammalia; Artiodactyla; Bovidae. The record is from RNAcentral.
GGAUGUGGUAGAGCAGCCAGGCAGCCUAGUUCUAGGGCCUCUGUGGGCUUAACCACCAUAUAACACAGUUCCAGUUUCACUGUGGGGCUGUCAUCUCUCUGAUCAGUGGCAGGAGGUGAUGCCUCAAGCCCUAGAAGGCCCUUUCCUCCAGAAUGUUUUGUGUGGUUAGAAGUCCCACAGUCUCAGGCAUGAGCUACCUUCUGACACAAGCUCCUGAGAGCCCAGGAGUGAAAUGUAUCCCUUGGUGGGGGGGCGGUCACUGUGAGGGCCCCAGCCGUGGUCAGUCACUCACCAGGCCCUCAAAGCAGGAGUAAGCUCACCACCUACAGGGGCCCGCUCUGACAGAGGGUCCCGGAAGCUGCAAAAGUCAUUGUUCCCAAAAAUGGCCUCCUUCUUUCUCACACUCAUGUCCUCACAACGCCCCCUUCUCUCAGAGAAGGCUGCAUGGAGGAAGUGACAUCUAAGCUGGGCUGUGAAGGAUGAGGAGGAGUUCUUACACAGAGGGGAGGAGCACAGACAUUCCAGGUAGAGGGAGCUGCCCAGGCACAGGCUUGCAGCAGGGUGUAUUUAGGGAAUGGGGAGGGCCAAGGUCAGCGAUAAGACUGGGAACAGAGGAGGCUAUGACCUUGGCCUCCAGUCAGUGGGCAAAGGGCAGUUACUGAAGAAUAUGGAGCAGUAGAGCUGCAGGGCAUAUUACUGUUUUAGAAGGACUGCAGACCAUGGCCAUAGGCGGGCACUGGCUGUGGGGCAGCCAGGAGGGAGGCUGUAGCCACAUGCUCCUAUAAUAAUGGUCUGAAUUCAGGUGACGACAGAGAAGGGGUCAGCCAAGAAAUGCUUCUGAAAACUUUGUUGUCAUUGUUGUUCAGUCGCUCAGUCGUGUCCANNNNNNNNNNNNNNNNNNNNNNNNNNNNNGCCAGGCUUCCCUGUCCCUCACCAUCUCCUGCAGUUCGCCCAAGUUCAUGUCCAUUGAAUUGGUGAUGCUAUCCAACCAUCUCAUUCUCUUUGAGGACUUAGGACUGUUGAUUGUGGGGCAGAGGAGUGGAGGUGUUGGGGCUGACCCUUGGGUUCCUGGCUCAGGUGACUGGGGGACAGGUUUCUGGGAGGAGGGGGUGCAUUUGUGUGGAUGGGGGAGAUCUGUUUGGGACUCAAACUCAGGUAAGGCCCAGGUGAAGAUGUCCCUAGGGUUGUUGCUUAUACAGGGGAGUUCAGGAGUGGGCUCUGGUCUAGAGAUAAAGAUCCAAGAGUCCUCAGAGAAGGGAAGAACCUGA